GAAAAUUCCAAAAAUUGGUCCCAACUCGGUAGGCACUUUAUUUUGUUCACUCAGAGCGUGUCCUUUCCCGUUCCCGCCCAGUUCCAUUUCGCUCUAACUCCACCAUGGGAAAUUCGUCCAAGGACGAUUCCGCCACCUCUGCCGACGCUUCCGCUGGCGACGUUCAGCCGUCCAAUUCCGGCGUCUACUCAGAGGGCGAGAAAGUGCUCGCCUAUCAUGGUCCUCGCAUCUACGAAGCCAAGGUGCAAAAAACUGAGAUCAGAAAGAGUGAAUGGAAAUACUUUGUUCACUACCUUGUA
Molecule: small RNA, 299 nt
Filed under: Vigna angularis var. angularis
Lineage: Eukaryota; Viridiplantae; Streptophyta; Magnoliopsida; Fabales; Fabaceae
Description: Non-protein coding transcript
Source: RNAcentral